RNAcentral lists this long non-coding RNA (27785 nucleotides) under Coffea arabica (coffee). RNAcentral's name for it is "long non-coding RNA (CARA_LNC001431)". Lineage: Eukaryota; Viridiplantae; Streptophyta; Magnoliopsida; Gentianales; Rubiaceae. The record is from RNAcentral.
UGAUCACAUUUCCCUAUCACCUUUUUCCCUCACAUAUAUCAAAUCGUUACAGUAAUUUUUCCAUGAAAAAUGACGGAAAAUGCAAUCCAAACACAACCCUAGGUUCUCAAUUUGGCCAAAACCCGGUUCUUCUCUCCAGUCUCCUCACCUUCCUUCUCCAGUCCGGCUUCCAGUCUCUUCUUCUUUCUUCUGUUCUUGAAGAUCAGUCAUCCGUGUUUUAUUCUCUGCUCUUAGCUAGGGUUCCCUUCUUUUUCUCUUGCUCUCUCUCUAUAUCCAUUUUGGCUGUAGUGCCAGCUAUUGUGUGUGGUGUGUGUGUGUGUUUUUUUUUUCUUUCCGGGAGUUGUAGUUUCCUUAGAUUCCGAUCCAUCAUUGUGCUGAAUUAAAGGAUGAUGAUGAUGAUGAGUGUGGGGUGAGUUCCCUCUCAUGUAUGGUCUGACUCGAAGCAAAACUUGUACAGUUUGUGGAUAUCCCGAGGUACUCAAACCAAACCAAAUCUCAUUUUUUUUCUUUUUUAUCCAUGAAAAGCAGGUGGUUGUGGAAGAUGGCUUUGUCUUUUAAGUUGCUAUUAUUUCUUCAUUUCUUGACUUAAUAGAUGAGUACUGAUUGAACCUUCUUUCCUUUUUUUUCCUUUUCUCCUCACAUGAAAGGUUUAGGCAUCAUGCGGUUCGUUUUGGUGAGGAUUCUGGAUAAGGAAUUUUCUUCAUGCUCUGUCUCUCCCUCUAUGUGAUGGCUGGAUUCUGAUUUAACUGCAAAUUCGAUAAACCCCAAAGAAUAAAAAGAAAGUAGUAAAAGAUAUGUUCUGUUUCUACUGUAUCCGAAAUGCUACUACUAGUAGUUAGUUGGUCCAGUGUAUUCUUUAUUCUAAUACCAGUGUUCCUACCUAAGUAGUAUCAAUUAGUCUUUUGGUUGAGUUUUGACUUGAGUGCUAAGUAUUAUUUUGGGUAACAGAGGCGGAUCCGCAUCGAAUUCUGUGGUUACUGCUUCUUCUCUUUUGCAGUACCUCUACUAUUGACUACUUACCAGGUAUCGCCCUCCACCACCACCAUAACCACCACGGCCCACAAGAUUUUUCUGCUGUUUGAUGAUGUGGCCGCAGAUGAAAGAAAGCUCCUUUUCUAUCCCUUGCUCGUCCGAGAGGAUUUAAAGCAGCGUUAGCCGACGACAUAGCCACCCUCUGGUCCUCUCAGUGUAGAUGGACACUUACUCCUCUGGAGAAGAACUGAUAAUUAAAGUACACAUAAGCUCCCUCUCUCCCCAACCCCCCACCUUUCUUACAUUUUUUAAUUGUGACCAGCUAGGUGCUUCAUCCUCACUGGUCCAGCCACCUCAAUUUUGCUGCUCUCCCUCUCUUCCAGGCCAGGAAGCCUUACACUAUAACUAAGCAACGUGAGCGGUGGACCGAGGAGGAGCAUAAUAGGUUCCUAGAAGCCUUGAAGCUGUACGGACGUGCUUGGCAGCGUAUAGAAGGUUACCAAUCUCCUUCCUUUUGAUGCUUUAUCACAGUUGAUAUCUCCAUCUGGGCUCUCUCUCUCUCAUUUGAUUGCUUUCUUUUUAUGUUUUUCAAGGUUGCUACUUUUGUGGUUUCCCUUAAAAUUCUUCUCAUCUUUUCUUGUUGGAGUAUCAUGCCAUGUGCUCCUUCCGAUGUAUAAUACUUGCUCUUACUUAGACAACUGUUCUUGCUCCUUUUUCUUUUUUGUUGUUUUCUAUCUGGUGGUUUGCAGAACAUAUAGGAACAAAGACUGCUGUGCAGAUCAGAAGUCAUGCACAGAAAUUCUUUACAAAGGUCAAGCACUACCUUCUUAUUCUAUGCUUGUCUGAGGGUCGCUUUACCUGUUCCUUUUCUUAGGCCGUAUCACAUUGGAAGCUUAUUUGCCAUGGAUUUCAUUUCACCAUUUGCUCACCCAUGGAAGUUCUAUUAAUUUUCAUUUUAAGUUUCGCAAAUUUUCUUGUGUGCUACUUUUACCCUGGGGAUCAUGAACUGCAUUUGCCAGUAAAACUGCAGUGGACAUUAAGAGCUAACCUUGCUAUAACAUUUUUCUGUUCUGAACUAAAUAAUAUUGCAACUUCUAGGGCCUGAGCAUGAGUAGUGCCAUGAAAAGGCCAUCUAGUAUUGAGUGUUUUCCAAAUUCUCCAUUUUAUCCAUUAUUCAGGAAUCAUAUUGGUUAAUGGAGAAAUAGCUUCGUGAUUGUGUAUGAAAGCAAAACUUUGGUAAAGCAAUCUGAUCUACUUAUAAAUCUGUAAAUCUUCUAAUUUUGAGAAUUAAAUAUAAGUUUGCUUCAAAUUCAUAAUGUAAGUGAAUGUUAUCGUUCUUGAAAAUAAAAGAUGGUUUGUUAUAGUUGUACUCAUCUUUAGUGAUAAUUCUGUAUAAAUGAAGAGUGCAGCAAUUAUGAUUGCUGGAUAUUUAUAUUAAUUUAUGUAGUUAAUCCAUUAUAUAUUACCUCUUCAGCAUAAACAUGCAUACGUGAAAAAGAUAAGAGUUCUUUAGGUUUGUAUGGAAGAAUUGACCGAUUGCACUUCAGAUCAGAAUAGGUGGGUUUAUGCCUUCCUUCUUAUUGCACUUUCAUUUUGUGACGCAUUUUCUCCAUUUCCCAUGUUUGGGCCAGAGUUAUUCCAGUGCUACCUGUAGUAAAGGAACAAUGGUCAAAAGUACUUGAUGGUUAGACUAAAUCACCUGACUGUGGCAAAAAUGAAUAAUCCAGAACUCAGAGUUAUCUUAUAGGGUAUCUCUGGUCAACGUGCUUUACAAGGUCUAAUGCAUGUAUAACAUCCUUACCAACAUGGGAGAAUAAGUUUAAAGAGUGAACAAGCACACAAAUUUUUGUAAAUUUUGGUAGAUUAGACGGAAAAAAGUUAGAUUUCUUACAUAAAUUGUUGAUACCUACAAGGGUAUAAUGUGCUAUAAAAUGUUUCUGAAGGAAUUUUUGUAAAUAAAAUGCGGAAAUAUAUCAUCUUCAACCUACUUUUUAUUGCAGAUAACAUUUAACGAGGUACACAUUUUAAGUCUCUUUAUUUGAGUUGGAAUUUCACAUUCAUGCAAUCUUUACCAUCUUCUUUUGUCAUAUUUCAAUUAUUCAUCCUUAGGCAUAUCUCUCAUUUUCCCCUCCAAAGCCAUAUGGGCAAAGCACAAAAGCAUCCAUAAAUGUGUGUUUUUUUUAAAAAAUUUUUAAAAAAGUUUAUUGGACCUCCUUUGACCACUUCCUACAGCCAAGCACCAGAUCUAUUAUUUUUUGAGUGGCUUUCCUAAAACAUGCCUCAAUGAUUUCAGCGCUAUACUCAUAUUUUAUAGUGUUCCUUUGGAAUAUUUCACAGUCUUCACUAUCUUCUUUUGUCAUAUUUCAACUAUUCAUUGUUUGGCAUAACUCUCAUUUUCCCCUCCAAAGCCAGAUGGGCAAAAAAGAAAGCAUCCUUAAAUGUGUGUGUGUGUGUUUUUUUUUGAAUUUUGCUGGAUCUCCUUUGAACACUUCCUACGGCCAAGCACCAGAUCUAUUAUUUUGUGUGUUUUUCCUAAAACAUACCUCAAUGAUUUCAGCACUAUUCCCGUAUUUCAUAGUGUUCCUUUGCUUCACCUAAUAUGUUUUUGCAUUUUGGAGAUGUUUCUAGCCUACAUGGCUUAGAUCCAUGCAUAUUUUUAGAGUUAAUCUUACACACAUUGACAGUGUAUACACUAUCAUUGUUGGAUGCUUGGCACAUAUGCAAAUUUUAGAUUUCAAAUUCAAUUUCAGAUUUGUUGCCAUGCAUCCAACGGUGAUAAUGUACAUACUGUCAGCAUAUUGAAGAUUAAUCCAUAUUUUUAUCAAUUAUCAAUAACUUUGAGGCAUUAUUCUGUAAUGCCAGAAACAAUCCUUCGGUUUGUGGGCUAUUGCCCGGGGCGGAGUUUACCUAGUGCGCACUCUCGGGUAGCGGCUGCGGGUUCCCUUGUCAAAAAAUAAAAAUAAAAAUCCUUCAGUUUGAACAAAUUUAUGUUUUGUCAUGCCAUUUUAUUACUUGUUGAACAGGAGUGGAAAUAUGAGGAAACAUAUUCAUGUAUAUGUUUGAAGAGUUUUUUUUUUUUUUUUUAUACCCAAAAAAUUUGGUGUAUAAGGCUUCGGUAAUCAAAAUCUAAUUCAGAGUAAAGAUACUUAAAAAAACUUAAGUGAAAUGGAAAUAGAAUGAUACAUGUUCAGGCUAGACCAUUUAACUCUUGGUAGAUAACGUGUCAUGUAAUCCAAUUCGGAAUCAAGAUAGAGCAGCUGUGAUGAGGUAUUUAUCCCUGCGCAUCAGCCACUGCAGAAUAAUUAAAAGAGCUACAAUUAAAUGAGUGUUUUUCAUGUAUUGACAAUUGGCUAAAACAGCUUAUUGUAUAAAAACUUAACUGAAGAAUAAUGAGUGUUUAUCUUGUAUUGACAAUUAGCUAAGACAGCUACAAUUAAAUGUCUUUGUUUAGUACAACAAAGUUUCUUCAGCAUCAAGUUACUGCAGUAGUGUGUUACAACCACAAUUAAGAGGCUGACAUGGUAUUUGAUGAAACACCUAUAGCAAUUUGACUAGACCUAUAUCUGUAGUAGCUUUUUGAGCUCUGUGAGUUAAUCCAAUCUGUAGGAUGAAUUUUUAAUGCUGUGAAGUUAUUUGAAACAUGAAUUUUAGUGCAUCUCAGUUGGAUGGCAUCGGAAGAGAUUGUAGCGCUGAAAAUCCUUAUGUGUCCUUACGUGUUCUCUCUUUUUCCUCUUUUUUUUUUUAUGGGCAUCAGCCACUGCAGAAUAAUGAAUACAGCCUAGGACAUUAUAAAAGAUUAACUGAAGAAUAAUGAGUGUUUGUCUUGUAUUGACAAUUAGCUAAGGCAGCUCUCCAAUUAAAUGUCUUUGUUUAGUAUAACAAAGUUUCUUCAACACCAAGUUGCUGCAGCAGUUGGUACAACCACAAUUAGGAGACUGACAUGGUAUUUGAUGAAAAACCUAUUACAAUCUGACUAAACCAUUGCCUGUGGUAGCUUUUUGAGUUCUGUGAGUUAAUCCAAUCCAUAGGAUUUUCAAUGCUGUCAAGUUAUUUGAAACAUGAAUUUUAGUUCAUGUCAGUUGGAUGGCAUUGGAAGGGAUUGUAGCUUGAAAAUCCUUGUGUUUGUGUGUGUGUUUUUUUUGUUGGGGGGGGGGUGUGGGUGGUUGUGUGGGAAGAGGUUCUUGCUAUUGAAGAAGUUUUGACUUUUAACCAGCAAGCUUACCUGAGUAUCACAACAACAAAUGUAAUUUUUUUCUCUGAAGAAAAGGAAUGUAGAAAGGGAUGUCUGAGUAUUCCAGUCUGUCAACUACAUAUUGGGUAACAAUUGUUCGAAGGAAAGUUCUGUAUAGCACUGAAUCCUUUUCAUGAAGUUGUGUGAAACUUGUUGUUAGCAAGUCAUUAGUAAUGUGAGGAGAAAGUCUUGAAAUAUGAUGGAAAAUAAUAAAAUUCCUUUUACUUGAUUUUACUACUGCAGAAGAACCAAGCAAGCAAGCUAGUGGUUGUUCUUUUAUUAGUUUACUAUGUUAUAUAGAUGGCAACCUUCUAGAAGUGGUUGAGGUGUUUCUACAAGUUUGAUUUUCUUGCUUUCUAAAGUAUGUUAGAACAGCUGUGUGGUUCAAGAAGUGCAAUUUCUUCCAUGUCAAAUAUGGAAGCUGGAAUUUAAGAUCUGUAACGCUCUAAAAGAAAGAGCUUAUAAAUAAGGAAUAGAGAGAUGGGUAGCCUUAGAUUGUUUUUGAAAUUUUACGUUCACAUAUUGUUGAUUAUCAAUGUUUAUGUUGUUUUAUUUAAAAAUUAUUUUAGCAGGGGAGGGGUGCUUUUCUAGAAGCGGGAAGGGAAAAGGGGGAUUUGAAGAACAAUGUUUACUUAAUUAACUGAUAAUGCAUGAUAUUGUUAAAGGUUUUUAGGUCCCACAUUCUUAGGUUUUGCUACAUCAAGUGGGAAAAUUACUGGUCUUCAAGGUGUUAAAUAUAGGUUCUUACGGCCUUUGAGUGGCAGACAAAUACUCACAAAGGAAGAGUCCACUGAUUUGCUCUAAGAGUUGAUGAGCAGUUCCUGGAACCUAAGUCCAGUUAAGAUGACUAUCACAUUUAUUAAACUUAAAAAUUAGAAACUAACCAUAAUUAGAAUGAUGUCUAAGCAGUCAGCUUUCUAGGACUGUAUAUUUUAAGAUCAUUAUAUCUUGCAACUGAUUGCUUCUAAAAUAAGUGAGCAUCCAGGAAAUGAGAUUUGUCCAGAUUGUUGAUUGGAAGUGAAGGGGACUGAGUGCUCAGUGUUUUAGCUAUCACUUAUGUUACUCAUCCCAUCAUACCCAAGCUGAUUAACAGAUACCUGCAUCCCAUCAUACCUGAUUAACAACUAUGUUCCGGUUGUUUGAGUCUGUACCUUGCUACAGUUCUAAAUUUAGUUGUCCCUGUGUAAGUCAUGUAAUAAUCUAGUUAAAGUUUUGUCAUAAUUAUGCAAGUUGCCUUGUUUAUUAUAUAAUUAGUGUGGUUUUGGCAUUUAAAUUCUUGGAGAAUCCACUCUUGUAAGUGUUUCUAUCAUAUUGGUUGAGGAAUUAUAGUUGUGAAGUGCCUAAAGCUUAUAGUGUAGUGUCAAAAUUGUUGGCCUCAUUCAAGAGGAGGUAUUACUGAUGGUAAGAGGUCACUAGGUCUAAGGGCUGAUUUUAGGGGGUACACUUUGGAGAAAUUUUCCAUUUUGGUUGCCAAGAAUUUGAAAAAUAAAGAAAGAAGAAGACCAAAAAAAAAACAUGGUAAUUAAGUGGUAUUAAAGACAGAAUAGGAAUUUUCUUUGUAAAUUGCAUAUUUUUUGAUAACCAUCAAUUAAACCAAAGUAGUAAGUGUCUGCUGUCAUGCAUCAGCAUUGUUCAUCAUGAAGCUGCUUUUCAUUGCAAGCUAUUAGCACAAUGUUACGAUGUGUAAGGCUGGUUCUUUCAAAUCGGUAGUUAUUUGUUCAUUGCCUUGCUUUCAAACUGUCCUCACUCAUGAAUGAGAAGAAGAGAAGGUUGAAAGGAUUGUAUUGUUAAUUAGCUUUGUCAAUAUUCUCAUUGUAGUUGGAAAACUGCACACAACACAAUUGCUGGUGUUUGGUGUAUUGAUCUCCUUGAUUCUGUACCGGGAUGGCUAUCAGUCAAGUUUAGCUAAAAGUUCUUGUUCGCAGCAAAUAUCACUUCUCACUACUUCCUUCAGUCAUAUUACAUUCUAGGGCCCAUCUUUUGAAACCUCUGCCACCUGCUCGACCAAGCUCAAGUCCGACUCAAAAUUUGAAUGAACAUUGAAUGCUGUUGUGCUUGGCUUAAUUAGUUGGCAAACCAACUAAAGUUUACAGGUUCAAUAGUGCAAUAUCCAUAACAUGUAUACGGACAAAACUGUUAAGGAAUCAAGAUGAUCUGUUCUCUUUUUAUUCCAUGUUGCAGUACUACUAGUUUACCUUCUUCUUUUGUUGAAAAUUUGAUGAGCUAAAUUGAUCAUAAUGGUUUGCUUUUUUUCUUUUUCUUUUUUUUUUGAGGCUGUAAUGCUUUGCCUUAUAAUGAAUUGCCACAAAGAAAGUGUUGCAAGUUCCAUAAUGUAAUAUUCAUUAAGUGUGGUCAAAGAAAAUUGUCAAGGAAUUAAAUCCAUUGGUGAUUUACUGUCUUUUGAUAUCAUGUUGCAGUACUAUUUUAUCUUUUAUUUCUUGUUGAUUAGCAUAGAUCAACCGUUCAUAUUGUUGUGUUUUAUAAUAUCAGUGAAGAAAAUGUUACAAUUGUUUCUUAAAAUGUUGUAGUUAUACUUCGCUCGGAAAAAAUUUUCAUCCAUAUUAGCAAUCUGAAAGUUCUCAAUAUAGUAAAGUAUAAUAUAAGGGAAGUUGGUUGUAGCUAUGCAGGAAAUUAUUUGGUGUUGUUUUGAAGUUGAGGUUCUUUAUCAUCUUAUGCAUAGGCACAACGAAACCUAUGCAACCUAAAGAAGUAGAUUGUUUGUGUACUUAUCCAACGUGUAUCUAUUUGUUGUUUUAGAUAUAUGUAGCAUUUAUUUCCACUCUGCCUAGGAACUUGAGUUUAUUGGGUGUCCAAAUGUUGUUGAUUACAGAUUAUAUAGGAUCCAACUUCUGAAUUGAGACUGCCUGCAUAUUUUGUCUUUUCUGGCCUCUGUGAUCUUCCAUUUUCAAUCUUUUGAUGGUUAUAGCUAGGGUUGAUAACCUAUAACCCUCCUGUGGCUUAGUGUUGUACCACAUAAAUUGCAUAUGGUUUUGAAAUGGCCAUUUUAUCCCUUUGAAUUAAUGUAUAUAUAUAUCAAGUUUUAGGUUAAAGUUAAUGAUCAAAACUGAAAAGUCAACAUUUUUUACAUCUUAUCACAAAAUGGCAAACAAAGCCUGUAAAAUAUAUUUUUUAGGUUUUAGAAAUAGAAUAAGUCUAACUCUUGCUUCAUUGGAGAUGGAAAGAAAAAUUACAUAAUCAUCCCACCAAGGUCUUCUAUGUAUUCCAGUUUCUGUCCUCAUCCUACUUAGUCCCUAAUCAGCAGCCAUGCAAGUCACUCAACUUCAUACCAGCAAUAUCUCCUCUGACUCAAAGUAGGGAUAUGCCCGGAUUUUGGACCAUUUUAAGAAAUCACUGUCGGCAUACUCUGGAACUAUCUUUGGAACAAUAUUUUGUGGGCUGGACUGUCUCAAGACUACCUACCUACCAUCAAUCCUGAAUUUUCAUUGGUGGACUUUUUGCUUGAAAAUUAGGAUUUAUGUACUUUAUGUACCUUAAUGUGCCAUGCCCCUAAUUUCUCAACUUGUAUGACUGGUGCUUGGGCACUCUCUUGUUAGUGGUUGAGGUGUAUUACCAUUGUGAAUUUUGUAUUUUUUUCCUAAACGUAAACAAACUGAUGUCAUCCUUGAAGGUUAGUUUUGUGGUUUCAUUUGAGUGACAUAUCACCUUUCCCCAUAAGGACUGGGGUGUGAAAGGCCCACCAUGACAACCAUGUAUUGCAUGAUUAGACCAGGCUUGACAUGAUUCAUACAUUUACCUGGGAGAAUGUGAUUUAGGAAACUUCUAAAGUUUUGGUUGCUGACACCGUCAGGAAAGGACAAAUUAGUAACUCAUGUAAGUUUGAGGAAUGUGUGCAUCACUGGUAUCCGUGUUCAGAGAGGACGUGAAGUAAGAAAAGGUGUGGUCUUCUAUUCUCGAACCCUAAUUACGUACCUUAAAACUUUUGAUGAGAGCUUGACAAAGGAGAAGAGCAGUACUAUAAUGACAAAAUGGGAAAACAAGGUAAAAUGAAGAGCAUAUGUAAGAACUUUCACACAUUUAAUCAAAUUACAACUGAAGGAUUAUGCCAAGGCUGUGUAUGAGCAACAAAAGGAGAUACCAAAUGUGUGUAAGUAGUGAUGUUAAUUUUGGUUCACAGUCAUAGUUGUAUGUCCUACGAGGUUUUCAGUAUACCUUUGCUGUUCAAAUGUCGAACUCAUUUAAAAGUAUAAUGCUGACUGGAGAGUCCUCUCUGGUUCUAACAAGUACUUUUUCGUUAAGCCCAUUGAAUUAGCAUUCGCGAGUCUUUCAAUUGCCUCUUAUCAUGCGAAUAAAGGGGGCAUUUUUAGUGGAUCAAGAUUAAUGGUAUAAAUAUUGGUUUUCAUUUAGACUAAUUCAAUUGCCUCUUAUCAUGCGAAUAAAGGGAGCAUUUUUAGUGGAUCAAGAUUAAUGGUUUAAAUAUUGGUUUUCAUUUAGCCUAAUUCAUUUAACUAUAAAAACCUAUUUUAGAUUUCGGAAACAGGCAGUGCUGUAUCCUUAAUGUUGCUUUUGAUGUGUAUGACUGAGCAAUUACCUAGCUCUUAAUCCUUACAAAAGUAUGUUCAAUAUAUUUGGUCAUUUUGAGUUCAAAAUUGCGCUUGUAACUUUGAUUUUUUUUUUUUUUAAAGUUUGAAUGGGUUUGUAUCCUCAACUUAUUAAGUAUCCAUAGUUUUGAACAAUGUUGCUUUUGAUGUGUAUGACUGAGCAAGUACCUAGCUCUUAAUCCUUACAAAAUUAUGUUCAAUAUAUUUGGUCAUUUUGAGUUCAAAAUUGCGCUUGUAACUUUGAUCUUUUUUUUUUUUUUUUUUAAAUUUUUGAAUGGCUUUGUAUCCUCAACUUAUUAAAUAUCCAUAGUUUUGAACAAUUGGACAUGUGAAGAUGUUUGUAUUAUAAGCAGUAAACACUAUUCUAGUAGUAAAGUUCGUACUCUUGGCCCAUCUCUCUGAAUUUGAGCAAUACAAUUUGGAGCAGAAACAUGUUGGUCACUAAACUACCCAUCCGUUUUAGGCAUAUAGCAAAAUGCUAUACAAAACCUCGUUUGGUCUCAGAAUAUUUGAAAAAGGCAUAGUUAAGUGGUCCUUUAGGCUUUCUUUUUUCCCUACGUAAUUUUGCCAUCAGCACUUACUGUUGUAUUGGUGUCAAGAAAAAGGGUUGAAAGCAAGAAAGUAGAAGUGGAGACAGUUAUAUCAGGGUGAUCAAUGGUGCUGAUUGGAUGAUUAGGAAUAAAACUGUUUAAUGGAACUUGAACAGUGUACUUUAAGAAUAAAAGGAUUGUACUGAUAUAGGUGACUGACAGGCCUUAUAGCUCGGUGAUUGUUUGUUAUGCUUUAGACGUCUGGACUAUGGUUCAAAAGUUUAUGAUGAAUAAAUAUUUAUGAGAAUGAUGCUUAAAAAGUUAAUGAGAUUUUAGAACUUUCUUAGAAGAUAAUUUUGUAGAAGGCCAAAAAGGAAACCAUCAAAUGUUGGUUUCUCACACUGCGAUGCGACUUCUUGUGUGGUAUCUACGAAAUGAUUACAGUUGCAGAAUCCCCUUUUAUUAAUCAUUUUUGGUAUUUAUAUUUCCCUGUUUUAUAUUUCAUAGGACCACACUUCUUCAUGUGAGAAUUGGAAACAAGCAAGUUAGAGGAACAGGCCUUUUGCCAGUUAAUGCAUGUGUGUGAAGUGAAAGUGGGUAACCGCUGGUUGUGAAGGCAAAAUGAGCUUGGUCACACCAGCCCCCUUGAUUUUGAGUUUGGUGAUCUUAGAUUGAGAAUUAAGCCUAAGAUGUGAAGUACUCUUUCCAAUUUUUGGUGCCCUGAGAGCUAUAGAUUGCUUUAGGUGCCCUGAGAGAGAGAUACCAAGAAAAUCAUAAUGCCGUAAAUCAUCAUAGCUACAAGUGUUGAGAUUCUGAUUUACUUUUGGCUUGCCAUUUAAUAACUUGAGGUUGAAAGCCCCUUUCAGCAAGGGUCUCAGCAGCCAGCCAGAGGAACUAUCAAUAUUAUGAAUUGUGAAUUGGAACUAUCAAUUGAUACCACACAAUUUAUGAUGGUUAGAAGUGAGAGUUUGCUGUCUGUCUGUUUGAUUUAGUGUAUACUCGUGCAACUCGAGUACUUAUUUUUCAGGGAAAAAAACAAAAAAGAAAGAUGAAAAAGGAUUAGCUAAGGCCAAUUUCCAUCUGGAGGUGAAAAGAUGAGAUGUCUUUGGUUGUUCUUGUUGAGCUUUUUGAAUAAGAUCAUGUCAUUUUUGAAUUAUCAACGUGCCUUAUUCAAUGAAGAAUUGGGGUAAUACAUUUGAAUUUGUUCAGGAGUCGACAUGUUUUGAUUAAAAAUCUAAUAUCUUCAAUAAUUCAGGAUUAGUAUUUAUACAAAAUUGUGAUGAGGGUGACGCAAGGAGUCUUUAUAUGAUGAUGCAGUUCAGAGUUCCCCACUUUGACAUUCUCGAUUUAUAAUAUUAUUUAAACUAGGCUAACUGCAUGGUAUUUUUCAUAAGAAUCUUGCAUCCUAUCGGGCUUGAGGCUAAAUGUCAGAAUAUCUCAUUUGAAUGGUAUGUGGUCCACUUCAAUUUAACAUUGUUUAUCAGAAUGUUCAACUUCAAUUCAGCACUAUUAUCAGAUUGCUGCUAUGUGUACAUCCAUUCGCACGAAUAUGCUUCUCCAUCUAAACGGGGGUAAGUUAAAAGUUUUGCUUUCUAAUCUUGUGCAGUUGGAGAAGGAAGCCCUUGCUAAAGGAACCCCAAUAGGACAAGCUCUUGAUAUUGAAAUUCCACCUCCCCGUCCCAAAAGGAAACCAUGUAAUCCAUAUCCUCGAAAGAUGAGCAUUGGUCUGCCUACUUCCCAGGUGGAAUCAAAGGAUGGAAAAUUAGGGAAUCCAAGUUCUUCUCUGCCCCAGGCUGAACACAUACUAGAUCUGGAGAAAGAACCAGCUGCUGAGGUAUUUACUUUGCACGGUAUUAUCUCUUUUCAGUAUUUAUUGAAUUAUAAAUCAUCAUCUCGGGUUUUAUUGGUUUAUUUGCCUGUCAGACAUUAUGAAUUUUUUUCCUAUUUACUGCAUUUAUGUCAGAAACCUGAGGGUGAGAAGUUUGAAGAUGCUAAGGAAAAUCAUGAUGAGGGUGAAUCCAAUAAAUGUUUCAACCUUCUCCAAGCAUCUCCUGGUAUCUCCCCAUCUUCAGCAAACACAUGCUCCUCAACAAUGGCUUCAGGAAAAUCGUCUGUCCUUAAGGAGUUCGUGCCAAUUUUCAAUGAGGUGGUCAAUAGGGAUGAAACUAUUGAAUCCUAUGUUACUGUUGAAGCCGGACCAAAUCAGAAUUCAGACAAAUUUUAUACCAUACAGUCAUUUGAGGAGAAUGGCACUUGUAACAGCAGAAAUUGGGCAAAUGCACACUCUUUAAAUGAUAAACCGGCUCAAAACAAAGGAAAUGUACCGGAACAAUCUGAAAAUAUUGACACCUCGCCAAAAAAUGGUGUACAAUCUCCGAAGAGCCAACCCAGACAUGUUGCGGUGCACAUUCUUGAUGGGAGCUUAAGAAUGAAUGCUCCGAAUGUUUCUGCCCAUAUGCCAUAUGAGGAAUCCUCAUUUCAUGAGAUCGGUGGGGUUAAUUCAAACAUAUUCUCUACUCUUUCUUCAUCUGCUACAUCUCAGCAUCAGAGCAGUGCAUCCAGGUUUUCCAUUAGCCAGCCAUUUGUCGGUUUCAAUCCUAUCUGGACUCCAGUCCAUCAAGAAGAUUACCAUUCAUUCCUGCAUGCGUCCUCUACCUUCUCAAAUCUAAUUGUAUCUGCUUUAUUACAAAAUCCAACGGCUCAUGCUGCAGGAAGCUUUGCUGCUAGUUUGUGGCCAUGCUCAACCACAGAAGCUCCUGUGGAGUCACCUGGAGGAAGUACAGGAGGAUUUACAGCAAGACAGAUGAAUGCAGCUCCAAGCAUAACAUCAAUUGCCGCGGCCACAGUGGCAGCUGCAACUGCAUGGUGGACAGCCCAUGGGCUUUUGCCACUUUGUGCUCCAUUUCACAUGGGUUUAAACUAUGUGCCUGUUUCAGGCUCCGCAGUUCCUGCAGUUACCAAUCAACCAAGAGUUGACAUUACUGAAAGAAGAGAAGAAAUCAGUGGUCCUCCCUUGGAUGCUAAACAUCUGGAACCAGAAUUUUCUGAAGCUCUGCAAGAGCAGCAUUCAACCUCAAAAUCACCGACUUUGUCAUUGUCAGAUUCUGAGGAAAGUAAAGGUCUGAAUUCAAGUAAUAAAUCAACUGCUAAAAAAACUGAUAGUGCAGCAGUGACUGAUGUUAAUGAUUCAAACAAGCCAAAGGGUAGGAAACGGGUAGACCGCUCUUCAUGUGGAUCAAAUACACCUUCGAGCAGUGAAGUAGAGACAGAUGCUUUGGAGAAGCUUGAGAAAGGAAAGGAAGAGUUAAGGGAACCUGUUGUAAGUCAGCCUAUUGCUGAUUCUAGCGGUCGACGAAGUAGAAGCUCCAGCAGUACAAGCGAUUCUUGGAAGGAGGUUUCUGAGGAGGUACUCAAAUUCCCCUCUUUGUGCUCGACUCUGUCACUUUAUUUGCUUUUCCUUUUCAUAUGUGCUUUUGUUUUGCUCACUUUGUUUGCAGGGCCGGCUGGCUUUUCAGGCUCUAUUUUCCAGGGAAGUACUGCCACAAAGCUUUUCUCCUCCACAUGAUUCAAAGAAUAAAGGAAAGAACACUAAUGAGAAAAAUAAGGAUAACGCAGAUGAGAAAGGUGACGAGGGAUAUCUGCUAGACCUCAAUGGGAAGAUGUGCAUGAAUUCUGCCAUUGAUCAAGAAUUGGAGAAUAAUUCGAGUUUAAGAUGUUUAAACAUCACGGAAGGGGACUACUGACUACGGGAAAACUGAAAGUGCGUCGGACAGGAUUUAAACCUUACAAAAGGUGCUCUGUGGAGGCCAAGGAGAACAGGUUGGUAUGUGCUGGAAGCCAAGAAGAAGAAAAAGGUACGAAGAGAAUACGGUUGGAGGGUGAGGCUUCCUACUCAUUGAACAUGCAACACAGAUGACAAAGAUCUUUGCAUGUUUCAGAGUGCAGCAUGUUAUUUGUGCUCUUAAUUGCUUCUCAUAACCUAAUUUUGAAUUUUUCAAGUCUAAAAUUGCUGAAAAUCAGAAGUAUCUAUUUUGGUGCUUUUUUUAAUUGCAAUUUCCUAAAACCAACCACCUUUUACACAAUCGAGAAUAAGAGACCACCUUCUUGAUUUUAGGAAUGAAUAAAAAUGGCCAACUAAUGACCUAGUUUUAGUGCACAGUUAUGGAAUCGAAUUGGAACAACACCCAAAAAAAAAAAAACAACCACAACUUCAUUAUGGGUUUUUUUUAAUCUAUACCCUCUCUCUAGGCACAAGAUAAUAUAUUUUACUAAAAAGAUAAGUUGGGUUCAUUACAGAACCUCUAAAAUUAGAACCCAUCCUCUAAUUUGCAUCUAUGCAUUCGCUCGACAAAUAUUUGUAUUUUCACAGAAAAAAACUUGAUACAAAACCCACUUUUUUUUUUUUUUAAUCAUUUGUGCCCUUAGUAGGACUCUUAAUUGUAAAAUGUACGUGCUCAUUUUAUCUUGAACCUGUAAUAUCUUUUAUGUAUUACAUUUAUGUGAAUAGAAAAUUUAAGUUAGGAGAAAAAGAAAAUUCAAUCAAAAAAAAAAUCGUGCAGAUGAAUCAACAUUCAUACAUAUAUAUAGAAAACGAUCGAGCACUAGAAAAUGAAUUUCAGGCGUACUAGAAAACGAGCACACUCUUGUUGGAAAAUGAUUACUUCAAUGAUGGUUAGGUUGGUUUCGACCCAUGAAGAAACUUGAGCAUGCACGAUGCAGUGUUCAAGAGCAAAAAGUGAUAUAUGUGUGUAUGUAUAUACGUACUACUUACUGAUGACAUAACCUUCGGCCCGUAUGUUCCAACUUUUUUGGACGCACGCACAGGAGGAUUGAGAGGGACAUUACUUUAAAAUUAUUAGGCGGAGCCCCAAGAAUAUGACAGCGGUAAUGUAUAAUUGUAUUCACUUGAUGUUAUAGGCAAUUAGCUAGCAACUUGCAUGUAAAUUGUACUAAGCUUUUGAUUUAACAACACUGUUUGUUUGUGUCAAUCCUUUGCAGCUAGCCCGAAGAAAAAAUGCACUAUCACGAAGGGCCUAAGAUUAGUACCAUGCGUUAUUGAUUCGUUCUUAGCAGUAUUUUAUGAAUAUAAGUUAUAUGUAUAUAUAUAUAAUUAAUUUUAUAUACAGUAUAUACACUAUCAUCAUUAGAUGUGUGACGCAUGUGCAAAAUUUAAAUUUAAAAUUUGUUCAUGUGUCAUCCAUUCAAUCGUAAUAGUGCACAUAUAUAUAUAUAUAUAUAUAUAUAUAUAUAUAAAGUCAUGUAACAGAAAUCUUGAUUGUAAACGAUUUGGAAGGGUUAGAUCCCAAGCCCAACAUGGGGGCCGGGAAAAUGUAUUAUAGCUUAUUUUGAGGAUGAUAAGAUGAAGUAGGAUUAAUGCACAAAGAGAUGCGAGCCAUCUUAUGAAUUGGGAUUAAUGCAUGAAUCGACGUGUUCAAAAUGCUUUAAGUCAAACUUGUUACUUAUAAAUAAAGGUACUAUUUAUCAAUUCAAAAUUUUAACAAUAAUAAUGUUACUCUCAUUCAUAAAACUUUACGUCCCCACAAAGUUCGAACCAGAGGUGGCUUAUACAUGCUCUUAAAUUGACUCUAGCUCUUAGGUUGACGUAGCACUUAGUUCCGUCCUUCGUAACCUUUUUUUUUUUUUGUUUUUUAUUUACAAAAAAAUUAUUGCCUUCAUAUCCAUUUAUUAAUUUGAAUAAGACGACCCUAUUGGAUGCAUGACCUAGGUAAGCUUUACACCCUAUUCCAAUUCAAAUGGAAAAUUGUGACGCCCUAUCCACUGUAACGUGUGGUCCUAUAAAAAUACUUAGUGUGUUGGCGUGAUUUUAUCUCUCUUAGUUAUAGUUUUUCGUAUCAGUAAUUUAAAUGGUAAUCAUAUAUAUAUAUAAUAUGUAUAAUAUAUGUAUGUAUGUAUUAUAGGCACACGUGGAUGCUACAUUUCAACUCCCUAACACAUUGUUGUCCUCCAGAAUCUAGCAAAAACUCGACAACUUGUAGAUCAUUCCAUUCGUUCUAUUUUUCCUUAUUCGUCCACUUGUAAAGCAUAGAAGUAUUCCUUAAAUUUGUGCUCCACCGGGAAAACGAAGUGAAAAGUAUAACAUAUAAAGAAGUAUGUCAUCAAUUACAGUAUUCAUUAACAGGCCAGCGGCAACCAUGGAACCGUUCCAUUGGUCACCAAUGUGCAUUGGGUAAUUGUUGCAUGUGCAGAUACAUAAUAUCAAGCCCCCUCAUUAUUGUAAAGCCAAAUGGUCGUCGCUGCAGGAGUUGACCAAGUCUGAUUAGAUUAAUAGUAGGAAAUUGGACGUUUGGAGGCUAAUGAUUUGCAUCAGAUUGAAAUGACAAAUUAUUGGCACGUUAAUUUGCUGUUUACAUCCCGGAACCGGAGCCUGAGUGUAGGGCUGCAAAAUGCUUGUGGCGACAAUUAUUGGGCGAUUGUCUGUAGCAGCAGGUGAACGACUAUAGGCUGCGCGUGCGUCGGGGGUUUAUAAUAGUCGAUGAAUAUCAAGGGUUUAAUUAAUUAAUUAAUGAAGCUGCUGCAGCUGGUCCCCUCUUUCAGAUUUUUAUUUAUUUAUUUAUUUAUUCUGUGGACUGCUUUCGACACCCUGAAUUGCCCCUUGGCCCUCGUCUCAUAGCCCUGCCACUAUCACCUAUAUAUACAUAUAUAUCAUAUCCCUGUCGAUUGUCAAUUUUUGUCAAAAGGAUUAGAUGAAGAGAAAAAAAAAAAAAAAAAGUCAUUAGUCAUUCACAUUAUUUUAAAAGACAUUGCUGAGGCGAGCCUCAAAUGCCCCAAAUUUUAGGGGCAUUUUUGUAAUUUUAUUAAUUUUGAAUUUUUAUUUUAUCUUCCUUAUCUUUGUUUCCUAUCCUUAUUAUUAUUUAAUAAUUUUGAAGAAUGAUUCCAUUUAUUUUUUUUCUGUGGAAAUAGUUUUGAAAAAAAAAUACAAAACAAAAGCAUCUGUGACUUUGUUUUCUUUUUUUCUUUUCCUUUUCUUUGAUCCCAAAAUAUAACUAUUUUUUAUUAACAUGAUUUUAGAUGGCUAAUGUAUGAGUUAGAGUUGUGUUGUGAUUUUACUUGUUAGACAACAAUAAUAUUUUUGUAAUUUCCUUAAUUUUAUCAAUUUUUAUAUUUAUAAGUAAUAUAUAUAAACACAUAUGUGCUUGAAUAUUGUAAUUCUGUAGCAUUAUUGUAUAUUUUAUUUUUUAUAUAUUUAAAAAUAAAAAUUUUUGUGAGACUUACAUCCCUUACCUCGGGGUUUUCGCUCCGUUUAGGAAGAUAUAAAAUGGCACGUCAGAUGCUCUCAUCUUUUAAAACAUUGGUUUGAAUGUGUGUACGUCUAUAUAUAUAUAUAUAUCUUACUAUAAGAUAAACAAAUGGUCAUAGUUACUAUAGCAGUCUCUUUUGCUGACACGUGGCAUUUUGUGUGAAUUUUGAACUUUCUCUUUUGCUUUCUCUAUGGAUUUGGAAUCGUUUAAAUGUGCUCAAUGACCCAAAUUAUAUUGCAUUUACUAUUUCGUUAUAAGGUUGAAUUACUUUUAGUAGACUUUUCAAUCUGUACAUUUUGAACAGAUAUAAUUCAAUUAGAAUUUAUAUUUAUUACUAUUUACAUUAACAUUUUCAACUUAUAUUUGACAAAUUAACUUAAGAUUUAAUUAUUUCUGUUCGAGUCUUCAACCUUAUCAUUUAAAUUUAAUUUGUCAAAAUACGUUAUCAUUUAAAGUUAAUGUAAAGUAAGAGAUUAUUUAAAAUUUAUUCUAUCUUAUGAUAAAGAACAAGAUUAUUAUUUCUACUCAAUGCAAUGUACAUUUCUCUGUGUCAAUUUUAUUUUGAUUUGUUCCUGUUCAAAUAUUUAGCAACAUUUGACUUUACGUUUAUUCAUAUGUUUAUUGUCUAAAUUUUGAGCUUUCUCUUUUGCUUUCUCUAUGGACUUGCAUUUCUUUAAAUGUGCUCAAUGACCCAAAUUAUAUUGCAUUUACCAUUUCUUUAUAAGGUUGAAUUAUUUUGAGUAAACUUUUCAAUCUCUAUAUUUUGAGCAUAUAUAAUUCAAUUAGAAUUUAUAUUUAUUACUAUUUACAUUAACAUUUCAACUUAUAUUUGACAAAUUAACUUAAGAUUUAAUUAUUUCUAUUCGAGUUUUCAACCUUAUCAUUUAAAAUUAUAUUUGUCAAAAUAAGUUAUCAUUUAAAGUUAAUGUAAAGCAAAAGAUUAUUUAAAAUUUAUUCUAUCCUAUUAUAAAGAACAAGAUUACUAUUUUUGCUUAACGCAAUGUACAUUUUUGUGUGUCAAUUUUAUUUUGAUUUGUUCAUGUUCAAAUAUUUAGUAACAUUUGACUUUAUAUUUUUUCAUGUUUUUAUUGUCAUUUAAAGUUAUAUAGUUGAACUGACAUUGCCACUUAAUAUAUUCCAAGGAAAGAGACUCCUGUGCUUUGUUAAGAAAGCAACUCCAAGAGAAAAAACAAUCAAAGAAACAGCUUUUACCAUUAUCACAAGCUAUGAAGCGGAACAAGUCUGAGCCGGCCAAGAGACUCAAAUGAACCUUCAUAGUGAUUAUGCAUAAAAUUAGUUUCCAACAAUAUAAUGCUUAUGUGCUUCAUAACUGAACUACUUGUGUUUUAAUUUAAUUAUCUUGUAUCUAUUUAUCGUUUAUGUUAAUGUACUUCGACUUAGCUGCUUUGACUUACUACCUAUGUAUGUUUUAAUUUUGUUAUCUUGUAUUUGUCUAUCCUUUAUGUUAAUGUACUUCAAUUUAAUCUCUUUUGCCUUGAAAAGCAAAUUUACUGAUAAGUUAUAAAUCCAAUUCAUAUAUAGAUGUCCCUCUAUCAAACACAAAAAACUUUUGCAAAAAUGCUAACCAUUAUUAAUCCUCCUGCUUUUCAAUUUCUUUGCGUAUAUUUGCUGAACAAAUUAUACAUAUAAUUUUAAAACAAAAAAGUAUAUAAGUAUAUUAUUAAUUUGUACACUGAAUUAAAUUUGUUAAAUAAAAAAUGUAGACAAUUAUAAAUCCAUUGACAAUGACAAAAAAAUGUAUAUUUGAAAGCUAUCAUUAAAAGAGGAAAAAAAAAAGCAUCUUAAUAAAAUGCAAUAAAGACAUAUAUAUUUUUCUCAUCAAAUUUGCAUGCUAUACUUGAUAAUUUCAAUUAGCAUUAAUGACUCAUAUUUUACUCAAAAAAAUGACAAAGUUCAUUUGUUCAAAUUUAAAUACUGAUAAUCCAAUUUCACUCCAUUUCAGUAAUAUAGAUAAUUUACGUAUACUUUCACACAUGACACUCUACUGACAAAUAUUUCAUCAAAUUUUGCUAACCUUAAACGCUUCAAGGCGGGUACUAUAGCACAGCCAACCCUUGCUAGUAUAUAUAUAUAUAUAUAUAUAUAUAUAUAUACACACAAGUGAAAUAGAUGUGUGCACAUGCGCGUGCAGAAGAAGAGAGUACAUGUUACGUCCUGUACGUUCGCGUGUUCCAAUUGGCAUUUUGGGCUUAUUACUUCUGCAAAUGACGACGAUUAACGAAAGCUCCUCUUCCGUCCUGCUGUGCUGUGGAUAAGAAACGUACGUGUGAGAGAUGCAAUUUCUAUCUUGUGUAUCUGUGACACCUGCGCGCGCGCUGUCCUCAAAGAUUAUUAGGAUGUUUGGUGGAAGAACAGUACUCGUACUCGAGAGGGGUGUUCCUGCUUUCCCCAGAAGACCUAGUAUUCAUUGUAAGUACUGAACUAAUUUAUUUAUAGUCUAUAUAUACCCAAAAAAACAAAACAAAAGCAGAGCACCUAUGGCUAUGGAGUGUGGAGGCUUUGACAACUGAAAACGAUGUGAUGAGCAAUGUUGGCCUCUCUCUUCCGGGCGCGAUAGAGACUUCCUACCUGUGAACCUACGAAUAUCCCUCCAGACAUUUAUGGUUUUUAUUCAUUCAUUAAUUGAUUGCGGAAGAGUAGCUAGCAUCAUCAUUGAUCGUGCACAACCUGCCUUGGGGGUCCAGCCAUCACCAGCCGCUUCUGAUUUGAUCCGCUGACACCCCAUGUUUGGAUAAGUAACACAGAUGUCAGUAGUGUUGUACACUCUGAUUUGUCGUAAAUUAUGCCUUAUUAUUAUUGUUAGUGCUAUUUUUUUCAGUCCUCAAGUCCCUAUAGCCUACAUCGUCUUCUUGCUGCAUGCAUGUCUCUCUCCAACUCUUCUCUUGGUACUUGGUCCCCCUUUUUCUUUUAGCAGUAAUGUCAUGUUUCUGGUCUCAUUUGAACUUCGUCUCUCUUUGUUUCAAUCCAUUGUCUAAUUUACAAAAUUGAAGAAACUAUGCAUUCUUUCCCUAUAAGUAAUCAAUUACAAAUUAAUUUCAUGUAUUGUCCAAUUUAAGAGAACCAUUUAUAGAUUUUUACAGUUUUACGCAUCGCUACUCUUCUUGAAAGGCCACCCAAAACCCAGCCUUGAUAUAUGUGUAUAACCGAACCAAAUCGCUUCGCUGCACAAGAGUACAACCACUGCCCGACGGAAAACGAAAAGGAUAGCAAGAAAGAACAUCUGUAAAUUGAUCGAUCAUGACCUGCUGCAAAAAACACAAAAGCCAUAUGUAUCAUACUUAUUAUCUUUCACUAAGUGGGAGAAUUGAAAGACCACCAAGAAUAGGGGAAAAAAAAAACCACUAGGGAUUGGAUGUUCGUCUGAAUUGAUUCUUCGGGUGGAGGACCACCUGAAGAAAGAAGGGAAGGGAUGCAACUUGGGUAAAUCAUUUAAAGCUAAUCGUUGCUGCCCAUUGCUUUGUUUUGUCUGGGUGCUGCGAGUAAAAUAAGUAUUGAGGCCUGAAUUAAGAAGCGGGAAUAAGUGGAGGUGUAAGUAAACACGGGGAAGGGAAAAUAAAACAGUUUUGUGAGUUGGCCAUUUGGGCUUAAUUAGUUAAAUUAAAUACUGAAUAGUCAAUAUUACUAGUGACUUUCAAGAAAAUGAUCACAUCUCGUGUCAGCACUCCGCCUCCAAAUUUAAGUACAGUUUGGGCACAUAAACAAAUGAUGAUCAACAACUUUUUAGCUUAUAUGUACGCUUGGAAAAUCUACAAGUAUUAUUGUACAGCAUAUAGUCGGCGGCAGUCGAUCAUCGUUUUGCAAUGUACGCCUGUAUCGCUUCCAUAAUAUGACAGAAAUCAGUCAAGACUAUCUAACGUGAAGCAUAUUCUCCUAAGAUUCGUGCUGUUAAUUAGACAGCAACCUGGGAAUACCUUUAAUUAGUUAAUGUAAAUUCAGAAGCAAAUCCCUUGGGACCCAACUAGCAACAGAAAAGUAAUUCAUCAGUUCUUCCUGUACUGAUCAGUGGACUCAUCUUCGUGAACUGAUGAAGUAUUUCUUGAGGAUCAUGCUCGACAUUAAUGCUGCUACAUUCUCGAUAUAUUUCAGAAGCACACCAUAUGCUACGAAUACCUGCGAGUUAUUUGUAGUAGUAGUAUUGUGUUCCCCAAUAAUAAUGCCAUUCCUUGUUACGGAUAUUAAAGUGCUCUUUGGGUUACGAUAAUUGAUUUGGGAGCUUAUACAAAAUAUUAGGGUUAUUAUUACUUUACCUUCUUAACAUCCGGCACCACUAUCAAUUUUCUCCUUAACGUUACUUUUUAAUUACUUUACCUCCAAGACUAACGCUCAAUCUUAAAAGAGUUUGUUAAGUAAAGUGAAAAGACACGUUUAGUCCUUAAAAUUAUUAUCACUUUAAUCCCAUAAACUAUGGUCUCAUUAUUAAUUUACCCCAUAGAGUUAUUUUUUAGGCAAUUUAUCCCAUCAUUAAACGGAGUUAGCAAGUUAAAAAAUUUUAGAAGAAAGUACCCUCCUCUUUGUAUAAUAAAAAAUUUAGAGUGAUUUUUCUUCUUUUUAGUAUAAAAAAAGUUGAAGUAUUAAUCUUUUUCUUCUUGACAAUCUUAUUAAUAUUGAAAAAAAUAGAAAGAUGGGGAGAGGGAGAAAGAGAGCUCAAUUCAUUUUUUUUUUUAAAAAUACAAAUAAAAAAGAAUUAAAUACUUUUAUUAUUUUAAAAUUAUUUCACUUAUCUGUUUACUACCAAAUUUCAAUUUUAAUUCCGACAACCUUAAAGUAAUACGAUAAAGUUACACUCUUCUUUAUUUUAUUUUAUUUUUUUUUGUAAAAUCUAAUUUUAUAUCUCCUUCUUUCCUGUUUCCUUUUUUUUCCCUAGUAUUAAUAAAUGUGAAAAAAAUUUGAGAAAAUCUGUUUAUUUUUGUGUUUUUGGAUCUCUUAAAGUAAAAAACAAAGGAAGAAUAAACAUUCUAAUUUUUUAUUUUUAAUUAUAUAUAAAAGGGUAAAUAUAUUUUAAAAAAUUUUACCAUACUAGUUAGAUUAACGAUGAGAUAAAAUACGUAGAAAAUAAUAUAAGGAAUUAAAGUGAUUGUAUCACUAUAAUUUAAAGGGAUAAAGUGAUAAUAAUAAUAUAGUAAUGCUAUAGAGUAAAAGUGUAUUUUUGUCUAAAAUUUUAUAACGAGUUGAGUUGAAUUACUUAUGGGGGCGAAGUGACUAAAAAAUAGCGUUAGUAAGUAAACUGAUAGUAAAUGAUAUAAUUUAAGGAGAUAAAGUGAUAAUAGCCCAAAAUAUUAAGAUCGAUUGACCGUUGCUUUUUCAUUCUCAUCCCUGUUGAUAACAACGUUUUCUUUUUAGACCCCACCCAAAAGUGAAAAGUGAAAAGGCAAAAAAUCCCAACAAGAUGACUUUUGAGGUUAAUUUGGGAUUAGGUUUAACUACUAAUUCUUAAAAUUUCUGACCAAAAAAAAAAAAGAUGACUCCUAUUUUCUCCCCCUUUUGAACGUAUGCGGACGCCUGUUUCGUCUCUCAACAUUUGACAUGAUUUUUAAUUAUUUCUUGCAGGCGUCUCAUCCUUUGCAUCUGCGUUUUCUUUUGUUGAGUUGCCAUUUUUCGUGCCGUGUUUUCAACCAUCGGCCCCUGCCACAUUUCACUAAUGCAUAUGCGAGGAUUUAAGCUUCGAGAUCAGAUGCUUAUAACCUAAAUAACAAAUUAUAACAAAUCAGAUCCAGUAAUGAAAUUCAAGCGCAGCAGAUGUGAAGGAGAAGCAGAAAAACAGAAAGGUUUGUGGUUCGGUUUUGAAGGUAUACAACUUACAACAAACACAAUGGACUGCAAAUUAACAUUAUUCCAAUGGCAGACGCAAGUCAAUCAAGGGCAUCGGUAUAACAACACCAUCAAAUGGUUUGCCUAUUCCUUGUUCUUGUACUGGCGGAGAGCUAAUGCUAAUCCCAGGAUGAUCAGGGGGAUCAGGAAUUGCAAUAUCUUAACCAAACCUCCAAAAGUCUGGAUUCCUGCAGAAGCCGCUGCUUCUUCAGUUGUGUCUUCAUGUUCAACUGGAAGAGUCGAUAUGUCUACAUCACCAAUGUAGUAGUCAACCAGCAUUUUCCUUGCCUCCUCACUGUGGUUCUGUUCGUCAAAAUCAAUUGUGGCAUCUUUCCCUGCAAAAAUUCAGAAAGAGUCUUGGCUAGGUAUAAAAACUGAUAACAUUAACAUUAGAAGAUCAUCAUGAAUAGACUUUUAAGCUGGAUCAAUAAGAUGAACCUCUCACCAGUUACUGCAAGCAGGGCCUCAUCACCCCCGGGAUGGUCAUCCAGAAAUAAGGACACAUCGUACACCUAAAACCAAAUGCAGGAUUACAAGUAAACAACAUAACCACUGGAAUGUGUAUCGCAGAAGUAUAGCAACAAAUUAUGGGCCGUUACACUAAGGCACUUAAGAGUCAUCUUUUCAUCAAUUAUUGGUAAAUCCACAACUUAGAACGGUGGCCUAAGCCUCUUUUACAUUUGCUUUCUCCAUGCCACUUCAUACAACACCACCAGCACUGCUGCCAAGAUUUCUUGGUUGAUGUCAUUUUCACGUCUCUGUCAUUUGGGAUUGGAAACUUAUUUGAGCUUAAAUGACAGCAAGCGGGAGCACAUACCACUCGAUUGGAUGAAGAGAAGGCUCAAGAGCCAGAUUCUGGAGUGACAAAUAGUCUACAACAUACAAAGAAACUCAAGUGCGAUUUUUUCUAUGUUUAUAGGUUUUAUCUAUGACAGGCUAGUGUAGCAAAGAUAGCUGUAAGGUCUGUACCAAAACACUAUCAAAAAUCCGAAUUUUCAAAUAAACGGAAGCUGAAACAGCUAGCAUCUAAGCAUAUUGCAGGUCUCUCUAUUCACACAGCUGGAACACCAAUAAAUAGAGAUGGAAACUGCAUGUGUAUAGGAUGAGGACAGAUCACUGCCAAAUCCUUAAGAAGGCACCCGUCAGAAAAUGGUUGCUUUAAGAUUGUGCUUUGCAAUCUUAAGAAGCUCACGGGAUAAAGAAGCUGAGAAGAAGCUAAUAAAUCUAAAAAAGCAGGUGCUUAAUGAGUAAAGAUGGGCGAAGACACUGCCCACCUCCUAAUCUUCAUUGGGAGGCUGCUAAUUGUUGGAACUUAGAUACUGGGGGCCAUAGUAUCCAACAGAUAAAGCCAAAGGACCCCAAAGUUUAAUCAGAUGUGUGAGACAAGAAGGUUGGCAAUUUUCUUCCCAAUUCUGAUUACAUUAAAUUAAAAACAGAACAAGAGAGCAUUCAAAGAAAGUGGAAGCCAAACUAGUCAGUGAAAGAUUACAAUUCUGGUAUACUUUGUUGUUUGGGAAUUUAAAAUACCAAAGAACAAAAAAUCAGAAGCUUCCUUUUCUUAAUGUCAUGGAAGAUGAAGCAUUUCAACUGUCUCAAGUCUGCACUCUACUGCACGUAGAACACAAUUCUGGAACCAAGAUAUUAGCAUUUCAACCCAAAAGUGCAUAGAGAAUUUGAAGAGUAAGACACAGAUACAAAGACAAAAUUUAUGUAUCCAAAAUUGUCGAGGCCAAAUGGAUUCCUACCAUUUUGAAGUCUAAUUGAUAUUUCUUUCUUUUAGCAGUUUAAACUCCAAACUUGGGCAAGUUAAAUUUGAUUUCUAAAGAUAGAUUUUUUUGUUAUUCUGAUGUUCCAUAUCAAGGAUCUUUUUAAGCUAAUUCAUUGAUUCAUCUAGAAAGUCAGGGAGGGCUGCUUCCUCUGAAAACUGAAGCCCUCCUUUGAAAACUGAAUUUAGCUUUCUUCAUUCGUUGGAGAUGCAUCAAAAUUUUGAAUUUAAAGUAAUUGAGGUUAUAUCCCCGUUGUAAGACGCAUUUCAAAUGUCAAUUAUUCUAUAACAAGAUCCAGAAUCUCAAGUCAUAUCUAAUGCGCUUAUCAGACAAACCCAUGGUAGAACCAACAACCUGUUAUCCUGGGCCUUCUGCAAGGUUUUUAUACCUAAGGCAGGUUUGGUAAGCUAAAUGUCAACACAAAGAAGCAGCCUGGGGAAAGAGAACAAAACCACCAAUGAGUAGUGAGCACAGGCUUAUGCAUUGCCUUCAAAAAUAUGGCUAUGAUCACUGGAAGCACCAAUCCACCUUCUCCAAAUGCUAAUGUUUAAAUCUACCCAAAUUGCAUCUUCAUUUCAGUUUGGCCUUUCAGGAAGAUUUCCUUAAAAGGAAAAUCAUUGGCUUUAGAGUGUAGGUUUUAACUCUGUGACUCGAGAGAUCUCAGUUGCAACAACUUGAGCUGACUUUGAGAGUAUUGAGCACCAAGAUAAUUUAGUUUGUGACAGUAAUUGAUCAAAUGGUCCCAAAAGUAAGUAACUCAUUUCUGCAGUUUAUGUGCUGGACUCAGAUCCAGGAAAAUUUUCUAAUAGAUAUGAAGGAUCCAGGAGAAGCGGCUUAUGACAAGUAACUCUUUCUGCAGUUUAUGACAAGCACUUGUCAUGCUACACUGAAAUGUUUAUCCAGGAUAUGAAGGACCCAGAGAGGCAAUAGAUAUGGCUAUGCAACAUAGAUACCAUUAAGAGAAAAGAAAAAGAGGAAGGGGCAUUUUGGAUUCUUGCUUCUAUUACUGAUAAUUAAAAGAAGAACAUGGUGAUUCUUGAUCCCACAAGUGAUCUUUAGCUUCUAAAGCAAUAUUACGAGAGAAGAAAAGGACCCAAGCAAUACUCCUGAAUCCAAAUUCGAAUUCAUUUGCGACUCGAACAAUUCCCACCAAGGAAGGAAUCAAAAUGGGUUAACAAAAAUAAAAACGUACUAUAACUUUAUCCUAGGCCUUGCCUACUUUUACCAACUACACAUCUUCAAACUUGUUGAGAAGAGGAAAACGAAGGGGACGAGGAAAAAAAAAAUGAAAGACCAGAAAGAAUUGAUGCAAACCUUCCCGGAGAUUAUAAGCCAGGUGUCCCCCCUUUUGUGGUGCCUUGCAACCUCAUCAAAGACAUAAACUCUACGAUCCGUCAUCUCUUCGAAUCUGCUCCAACGAGAGAGGAGGCCAGCAAGUUAAUGUUAGUUCAUAGAAGCUUCUUACGACCUACAUAUUAUGUAAAGGAGCAUUAGCAGAGACUCACAUGAUGAGAGGGAGAGCCCAGAAAAGCUUGUUAUGUGUAUGGCUGUUCUUUACUUUAGCAGCAGCAGCAGCAGUAGCUUUGGGCUUCGGAGUCCAGAGACAGUUGCGGUAUCCAGCGAAGUAACAGUACAAUUUUAUAAAAAUUGUUGCGGUAUUACAAGACAACAUGCUAAUACAGUAAAAAAAAAUUUUUGGAAGGAAGGAACAUGCUAAUAAUUCGAGAGGGAGAAGAAGAAUUUUACAUUCCACCCCGUGAUACUAACUAAUUAUACCACUACUACUAAGUAAUGGUACCAAGCGAGUUCUUGUCUUGUAAUUUGUAAACACCCCACCCGGGCCUAUAAUUAAUGUCCUCUUGUAAUAAUACUUGAUUAGUUUAAAAUGAUUGGUAUCAGUGCACAUAAUGUCACUACUACAGUACUACUAUUUUUGCACAAGGAUUAAAGGGACAAUAAUGAUAGAAUUGUCUGCUCUUCUCAUGUCUUAUGUCUUAUUAUGAUGAUGGGCUGGCGUGGGUUGGGGUGGGGGCACGCCUCCAAUUCAAGAAAUUAAUCGCUGCUUUAAUUUGGCCUAUAAUUAAGCAUCUUCCAUGCUUUGAUUAACCACCGCACCUGGAUUCGCUAUUUCUGGAUGGAUGCAUGGAAUUUAAUAAUAUUAGUUAUUCACCUCGUGCAUCGCACGGGUUGAUUCAGCGGCCGCGCCCACAAAACCCAUCAAUUUUUUUUUGCCAGCAACGAUACAUUUUGUAUAACCUACUCUAUCAUAAAAGAAAUGCGAUCGAAAUUUUUAUAAUUUUUCACCCUUGCACCGCACCGCACCGUUCAAUAAUUUUUUACUAAGAUUGGAAGAAGGCAUCAAUUGAAAGAAAAAAGAUCCCCAAUUUCACCAUAUUUGCUAUUGGCAAAAAUGUUCCCCUACUAAUUACUAUAGUAUAGUUCAUCUUUAUGGGCACUUCAGUCAAUGGUUGGAGUGGCUAACUUGACCUUCUGUACUUCUAUAGCAAACUAAACAAUUUAAGUAUUAUAUAUCGAUGCACUACUUUUUUCCGACCCCAGCGAAAGAAAAAAAAAUUGAUACUCAGAGUUCUUAAACAGUUUUUUUUUUUUAAUUUAGAAAAGAAGAAGAAAAAAAAAAC